GCAAAGCCUAAAAGAGAAGAGUUCAAUGUGCAAAGAACAAGUCAAACCACGAAGCCUGAUGAUUAUGAGACCGACCUGACAAGAUUUGAUAUGGAUAUCAUUAAACCACCACCACCACCACCAUCACCGCCGCCACCUCCGCCGCCGCCACCACCACCACCACCACCACCCCUUACUUUUGACAAAGUCAUUGUAAGACCCAUUCCUGCAGCUGAAAUUCCAGAAAAGCCUUCCACUAGACCUCUUCCUCUGACUUCUGUGAGGUGUUACACGGUUGCGUCUCUUCAACAAUAUACAAAUAGCUUUU
Molecule: long non-coding RNA, 307 nt
Filed under: Daucus carota (carrot)
Lineage: Eukaryota; Viridiplantae; Streptophyta; Magnoliopsida; Apiales; Apiaceae
Description: long non-coding RNA (DCAR_LNC003218)
Source: RNAcentral